AAACAGUGGCGGCUCCCUCGGGUACUCCACGUUCGCUGAAGCCCGGAAUGCUACCCUCCGUCCCGAACUGAUAGUGCUGUGACAUCAGUCGCUGUUGCUGCUGCUGAUGCUGGUGUUGCUGCUGUUGCUGCUGCUGAUGCUGCUGAUGCUGCUGCUGCUGAUGCUGCUGCUGCUGCUGCUGAUGCUGCUGCUGCUUAUGCUGCUGCUGAUGCUGCUGCUGGCCGUAGUGUGCGGCAUGGCCGUAGUGUGCGGCAUGGCCGCUACCACUAACC
This 272-nucleotide small RNA is filed under the name Drosophila guanche. The record is from RNAcentral. Lineage: Eukaryota; Metazoa; Arthropoda; Insecta; Diptera; Drosophilidae.